CUUAAUCAAUAAAUCCCUCCUCUGUCUCCCUUUUCUUACACUCGUCCCUGCAAGAGUUUAUAGGCAGUUCAAGAAAAGACAAGGAAAAUAUUUUAAUCAAGUUCUUGUGUUAGUACCAUUAAACAAGAAAUCGAGGGGGGUGAUUGUUGUUGUAGAAAAGAUAUUAAGAUAUGUAUAUGAAGGUGGUUUCAGCAAGCAAAGGGAGCAAGAUACUUCUUCUUCUGGUGGUGAUCAUUGGUUUGAUGGUAACAUCAGCUGUUGCCAAAGGCGGUAGAGGUUUUGGAGGCGGUGGUACCUUGGGAGGCAGCAGAGCUGCUGGUACCGGUGGAGUUAUUGGUGGGGCUAGAGCCACUACUGGUGGCAAAACCUCAGCUUCUGUGACAUGGGGUCCCACUUCCACUUUUUGGCUACUUCUCAUGAAUUUCAUAUUCUUAAUGGUUUAAUUCAAUCUGUGAAACACACCUCUCUCUAGUCUCAAUUCUCACAUGGUCUGGCAAAAGGCCUCUAUUUAGUUUAUUCUUUAUUUCUUUGUCGCAGAGCAUUAAUUUAUUAUUAGCAAAAACUCAAAGAGAAUAAAUUGUUAGAGCCGUUUAUUAAUCGGUAGUUGUUAUUUUGUUUAAGUAUUUUUUAUUUAUAAAUGUAUUGAAAUAAUUUUUUUAUUUUUUAAAAUUUAUUUUUAGAUAUUAGCUUAAUAAAAUAAUAUGAAAAUACAAAAAAUUAAUUUUGUCGUCUCAACAUAAGAAAUCUUGGAUCAAGAAAUACAUAAUUAAGAAAUAAAUUGAUUCCAAAACACAUAACAACAACAAGUGUAAUUAAUAUAUAUGUGCUCGACGUCGUCAAACCCUAAUUAAUCUUGUCGUCUCAACAUCAAAACGCAUGCAUGAUUAAAUCAUUAGAUCUCUAGUAAAAUAAAAACAACAACAAUCGAUCAAGAUCGCUUGCGAGUGAUCCAUUCUCGCAUGCACGGAGAAACUGCAAGCCAACCCUUCUACUUCAGGCCGGCGGCAGGCCUCCAAAGGAUAAUCUCACCCUCAACCUCGUCAACUCCAUCAUCAUGGUGGACAACAGCAGCACCAUCAUCCUUCAUUAGAGGUUUCUCCAGUAUUGUUAACUCAAGCUCCUCACAUAAUUCAGCCACCAACUCAUCGAAAUAACUCCAAUCUAUCUCGAAUGGUUCGUAGACAUCAUAAGAAUAAUCAUGGUAAUUGAACACGUUAUUGUUCACUACUGUCUCGCAUGCUUCUUCAUUGCCAUGAUCAGUACUGUAGACAUCGUAAAAAUCAUCAUAGUUGAACACAUGAAAGAGAGUAAUAGAUGGUAUGGUUUGUUUCCCUUGCAAUAUUCUAUCAGCAUAUUCUUGAUGGCUAAGAUCGAUUACAAGGAAAACCUACGCACCUCUCGGUAGAAUAACGAAGAAAGUAAAGAGAAAACCUGCUUGUCAACAAUAAGGAUAUGAUAAAUUCUUAUGUAGACAAUCCAUGUGUGGCCAAUCACAUAUAUAUAUAUAUAUAUAUAUAUAUAUAUAUUGGCCAAUGAUUGAAUCAAUAUCGUAUUAGGAUUCGUCUCCUUAACUACCUUCUGGUUUUUUUACCCGGUCUUAUAUCAGUCCCCUAACUAUAUACUAAUUCUCAAUUGGAUCCCCUAAAACCACCAAGUUUUUCAAUUGGGUCUCAAGAUCGUAAGGCAUUCCUCCCAUGAGUGUCGUUGUCUAGGAUUGUUAAUGUUUCUCUUCUAAACCCCUUAUAUCAUGUAAUAAAACGGUGGCUUUUUGUGUGAGAUGAGAAGAGUUUAAGCAGAACGGAUCAAAUUGAAAAGAAUAGUUGGAAACAUAUGGUUUCCUUGUCAAUUUAUUAAAUUCAUAUGACAUAUAUUCAUAAUUUUAGAUUUCUUCAAUCAAAUCCCUAAUUAGCCAUAUAUAACAUCAUCUCCUGGACAUUAAUCUGAGCUGAAACUGAUGUUACAGGGAGUCUAUUUUGACUGUAAGCGAAGAACUGACUUGCAAAUGCCAGAAGAGCGCAACUUGUGAUCCCCAAAACCCAUGUUCUGAACGUCAAGCAUGAUAAUGUUGGCUCGUCUGUAAUCGGAACUGUGAGCCUGACUUGCUCGAAUAUUGGCGAAUCAUUUGCCUCUUCUGCAGAAAAUUUUAUUUUAAUAAACAGAAAAGGAGGCAGCAAUCCUUCAUCAGAGACUGCCAUUAUUAGAAAAUCAUGCAUUAGACUGUUCAGUACUUUACUUUGCAUUCCUUAGCAAGUGCGACUCAAUUGGAGAUGCAUUGGAUUGCUACAAUAUUUAAGACUUGUUAGAGAUAUAUAGUUCUGAUUGUCAAAAAGUUUUACUAACUCCAUUACUUGGUUUUUUAAAUUUAAAUUAAAUAUUUUUAUGAGUUUAUAUUAAAAAAUUGACAUUUAAAAGAAUUUAUACUCUUAAAUGUAUCUGAGCUCGUGAACAUUGUAGGAGAUAUAUGGGCUCUAUUAUUUCUAGUCGUAAUUAUGAAUCACCAAAAACCUUCAAUUCUCCAAAUUUUCCUUUACAAUAGACCAAGGAUCAUGGGCCUUAUUCCCAGUAGUAGUUAAUUAAUAAUUAAUUAAGAAUUAUAUAUAUAUAUAUAUAUAUAUAUAUAUAUAUAUAUAUAUAUUUCUUUUUAGUUUUGAUCAAAAGCUUUAUUUAUUUUUUAUUUUCCAAUUCUUAAGUUUUAAAAAAGAAAAGAGAAAGUUGUUUGAAAAUAACAAAAAUAAAAAAUUAUUUAUUAAUCACGUCUCAGCUACAAAAAAAAUAUUGUUUUUAGUAUGAAUAUUUUUAAUUAAACAUUCAGUUCUUAAUUAAAAAUACAACCAGUUAAAUCAAAAAUUUUAUUUUUCUAAGAUUUAGAAUCGGACUAAACCUUACCUGAAACGGGUUCAAACCAAUUGUUUUUCAGUUAAGUAUCAGGAAGAGCCGAAAGGGUUAGGUGACUUAAUUUCUCCAUCGUUGUACAAAAAAACUUCAUGGUAAAUUAAUAUUGCUUUUGUAUAAUCAAUUCAAUAGGGUCUCCCUGUAGAUCAAGCAUUAUACACCCCUUAAUUUUAUCUUCAUGUCCACACCUUUCCAACAAACCAUGCCAUAAAAAAAGAAGUUGCUGAAUGCAAAAGAUCAUAACACAUCACAGCCAAAAAGCCUCCAAUGCACUCUUAACCGUUGUAAUAUUGGAUUUUUGGUUUUGGGUACGCAGAGCCUGGAAGUUCAACUACCGAGUGUUGUAGCGGGCAAAGAGCUGAGAAUAAAGAGAAUUCAUGCAUGAAGCCCUGUAUAUAAAAUUGACCACACCAUUUUAAUUUAGCCCCGGCAAACUCAAUUAUCUGCCUCUAAGUUAAUUAGGUGUUUUUUUCAUUUUGAUUUUUGGUUCUGAAUUUUUGCAUUUUAACUCUUAAUUGACCAACAAACUUUUAAUUUUUUUAAUUUGGCCACUGAUUUGGUCAAUUUCAACCCCUAUAUUCAUGCGUAUUUUCCAUUUUGAUAUUUAAUUUUAGAUUUCUUCAAUUAAGUCCCUAAUUGUCCAUCAAACUUUCAUAUUUAUGCAAUUAAGCCCUUGAUUUGACCAAAUUAACUCCUAAAAAUAUUCAACCCCCGAACUUCAAUUCUUCCAAUUAAAGCUUAAAUUGACUUUAAAAAUGAGAAUCUCAUAUCAACCUCUGGUGAAUUGGCGAGAGGCUCCUAGGGAGAUCAUGUUAAUCCCUUCCUUCGAAAGUAUCUGAAAACCCUCUCUAGAGAUCUGUAAAUAGAAAAUGUAUGUCAGAGAUACAUUAUUUUUAUUUUAAAAAUAAACUUAUAUUUCUAUUGAGGAUUAUACAUCCUAAGGUGAUUUGUGUGAUAUGUAUAGGGGAGAUCCUUAGGAGUAACAUGUCUUGGAGGUAGCGCCAAGAUAUUUGCUUUGACUGCCCUAAUAACUUCAAAUGAGUGAUCAUUAAGAUACACCAAAUGACCAUGGCUCGAUCCCUCGUGGUUCUUCCUCGAGCUAUCAUUUCUACUAGAAGAAUGAUUUUACUUGAAAGGUUCUUGGUUGUCGAUGUAAUAAGAAGGGGGCCCACGUCGUAGCAAAUCAGCCUCUUCCACCUGUAUGUGAUUUUUCAUGACUUGUUUCACCUUGAGUAAACUUUUGUCUAGUAAAGCAUAAAGUUUUCUCCAAAUGACAUGUUCUCUUACCCUUUUAAUCAAGGUCUCUAAAGCUACUAGCUCAAGUAAUUCUUCCACAUUGAGCAUCUCCUCAUUGAACCUCUUCAAAUAUGUCUGUGUAGACUUACCCUCUUGUUGGGUAAGACAUUCCUCCAACGAGUCUAGUUGUCUAGGAUUUUUAAUGUUUCCUUUCUAAAUUUCAUAUAUCAUGAAAUAAAAUUAUGUCUUUUUGGGUGAAAUUUGACUAAAUGAGAAGGGUUUGAGUAGAACUUCUAAAUUAAGAGAUGGAUGACACAAUAUGGAUCAAAUUGAAAAAAACAGUGGUUUGGAUACUACAUUGAGAGUUAAGUCAUAGUUGGAGAAGCAAUUUAAGGUUUCCUUAUCAAUUUAUUAAAUUCAUACUGGGAAAGGGAUGCAUUGUUAAGGUUAUUCAAAAAGAAGAUUUGGUUAUAAGCAAGGCAAAGAUUUUGAAUCACUCAUGUAAUUAUGAAUUACCGAACCUUGAAGCCUCCAUAUUUUCCUUUGAAAGAUGGGCUUCAUUUCCAGUACGUAGUAAUUAAGAAAAAACUAGAAGAUCUCUAUACUUUGCCAUGAUGCAGCAUUAGGAGUCUAAUUGGAUCAGAAGAGGCAGCGUGUUUAGACAAUUGGAAGAUAUUUAGUUAAUUUGUAAUAAAAUCGACCACCAAGAAAUUGUCCUUCUAGCUACCUCCAAUCUUUUUGCAAGUCCCUAUAUAUUAUUUGUAAUAAAGAACGAAGAAAUUUCCUAUAAAAAAAAUUGCAAGUCCCUUCCUCAACCAUCCAUCCAUGUCCAAGAAACAUCCAACACAAAUGUCAUAAAAAAUAGCAAAGCAAAUAUAUUAUAUUAUCAACACGGUCUCUUCUUUCCUCGAAGUAAUCCCAUCACAUCACACGUCUCCUUAAUCUGUAAAUCCUUCCCAUGUCUCAAUUCUCUUACACGCAGCCCUGAAAAAAUUUAUAGAUAGUUCAAGAAAAGAAAAGGAAAAUAUUGUAAUGAUCAAGUGUUUGUGUCAUUACCAUAAACAAGAAAUCGAAGGGGGGACGUGGUUGUUGUUGCGCUUGUAUAAAACAGCUGAGAUAUAUACUUCUUCUAGUGGUAAUCAUUGGUUUGAUGGUAACAUCAGCUGUUGCUAAAGCCAGUGGAGGUUUACGGGGCGGUGGUUUCUUGGGAGGCCGCAGAGCUGCUGGUACCGGUGGGAUUUAUUGGAGGGGCCGGCUAGUAUUACCACUGGUGGUAAAACCUCAGCUUCUG
This 5419-nucleotide long non-coding RNA is filed under the name Populus trichocarpa (black cottonwood). Its description in RNAcentral is "long non-coding RNA (PTRI_LNC003550)". The record is from RNAcentral. Lineage: Eukaryota; Viridiplantae; Streptophyta; Magnoliopsida; Malpighiales; Salicaceae.